GCUCCAGUAGCGAAUACUAACGUUGUUGCAGUUGAAAAGCUCGUAGUUGAAUUUCUGGUAUGACUGGCCGGCCUUUGGAUGAAUGUCCACUGUUCGCUGUGUGUCAAGUUAGGCCAUCCUCCUUUCAUUUUGGAAGGGUCUUUCACUGUAAAAAAUUAGGGUGUUUCAAGCAAUGUUCGUUGGAAUAUAUUAGUAUGGGA
Molecule: ribosomal RNA, 200 nt
Filed under: uncultured eukaryote
Lineage: Eukaryota
Description: partial 18S ribosomal RNA
Rfam family: Eukaryotic small subunit ribosomal RNA
Source: RNAcentral